This 498-nucleotide ribosomal RNA is filed under the name Veillonella parvula. Its description in RNAcentral is "bacterial SSU rRNA". It matches the Rfam family "Bacterial small subunit ribosomal RNA", at positions 28 to 495 of the family's 1533-position model. Lineage: Bacteria; Bacillati; Bacillota; Negativicutes; Veillonellales; Veillonellaceae. The record is from RNAcentral.
GACGAACGCUGGCGGCGUGCUUAACACAUGCAAGUCGAACGAAGAGCGAUGGAAGCUUGCUUCUAUCAAUCUUAGUGGCGAACGGGUGAGUAACGCGUAAUCAACCUGCCCUUCAGAGGGGGACAACAGUUGGAAACGACUGCUAAUACCGCAUACGAUCUAAUCUCGGCAUCGAGGAUAGAUGAAAGGUGGCCUCUACAUGUAAGCUAUCACUGAAGGAGGGGAUUGCGUCUGAUUAGCUAGUUGGAGGGGUAACGGCCCACCAAGGCGAUGAUCAGUAGCCGGUCUGAGAGGAUGAACGGCCACAUUGGGACUGAGACACGGCCCAGACUCCUACGGGAGGCAGCAGUGGGGAAUCUUCCGCAAUGGACGAAAGUCUGACGGAGCAACGCCGCGUGAGCGAUGACGGCCUUCGGGUUGUAAAGCUCUGUUAAUCGGGACGAAAGGCCUUCUUGCGAAUAGUGAGAAGGAUUGACGGUACCGGAAUAGAAAGCCACG